UGGAUCACUGAAAUACUGGUCUUAGUUUUCCAGGUGUUACAAAACAUUUUUCAAAACAGUUAUCAUUUUGUUCUUAACUGUCAUGCAAAAUUGAGCUUGAAUUUAAAUGAAUAUGAGAAGAAAAAAUAUGUAGUCAAGUUUUUCCUACUUCAGUCAGUCAAGUGUCUUAUGUCUUUGUGACAUUAAAUAAGGGACAGACAUAUAUCACAUCUUAGCUCCCAUGAAUUUUAAAUGUGCUUUUUAAACAUGAAGUGACUAAACUUCUACAUUUUCAAUCCUAUCCUAAAACAUGACUUUACCUUCUUCAGCUAGAAAUGGAUCUGCAGCACCUGUGUUUAACCAUUCAGCAGUAACAGAACCAGAGGCAAUGGGCACAGACUGAAGCAGGGGAGAUUCCCUCUAAAUAGUCCACAGAAGUAAAACUUGGCAAUACUGGAAAGCACUAUGUCUACAUUUUUCUGAAGACACUUGGAGCUGCUAUGAAAGGUCAUUUUUUUGUUGCAGUACUUCGAUUUUCUGACAGGACUUCAAGGUAAGCACUAUAAUUUGCCUGAAAUGUCACUAAGGAAGAAGAAUUUCUGAUAAAUAAAGAGUUUUCACAGGAUGUUCUUAUACAAUCACUGAAGAAUCACCUAUGUGUACUUGGAAGUAUAUAUGAUCAGAUAUUAUACUUGUUUAUGAUGGAUUUUUGGAGUAGGCAAACAGGUUUUAAUUAUUCCUCAUAACACUGAAAAUGCCACUAAAGGUGAAAGUCCUUCUUCCAGUUAUCCCUUGUGGGGUCUUAGACAUAUGUUCUUAUAUUCUAGCUGUCUACACAGUGGAGAGCUUUAUUUUAUUGACCCACAUUUGGUCAUCAUACUUCAAAGUCUUCAAUCCUUUUAUACAGUGAGAAAAUCUUUUAUGCACUAUGACAAAACAAAAAAGAAAACCAAAAAAAAAAAACAACCAAGGAAAGUUUCAGAAUAAAAAUAAUCACAGAGGCUUAACUUCAUGGAGAAUGCCAUAGAAAAUGGGUUUGUUCUGGUUUUCCAUCAGGAACAAUUAAUCUACCAGACCUACACUUAAUCUGCAAGGAGACAACAGGAAUAAUGUAACUGAGAUGCACUAGAACAGUUUCAAAAAUUAUAUUCACUCUAAUAAAAGGGAACAAAUUAUUUUUCCUUUUACAAAUGAGAAGUUAAAAGGUAUGGGCAUGUUAAAAGAACAGAGAAGAUCUGAGACAUGGAACAAAGAUUAUCUAAGAGCUUAUCAAUGGGUGAAACUGAAUUUAUUGUGUUGUUUAAUUCAAAAUGUGUG
This is a long non-coding RNA of Zonotrichia albicollis (white-throated sparrow), 1296 nucleotides long. RefSeq lists it as uncharacterized. Lineage: Eukaryota; Metazoa; Chordata; Aves; Passeriformes; Passerellidae. The record is from RefSeq and is a predicted model, not a curated record.